This is a long non-coding RNA of Mustela lutreola (European mink), 714 nucleotides long. RefSeq lists it as uncharacterized. NCBI's taxonomy places the organism in Eukaryota, Metazoa, Chordata, Mammalia, Carnivora, Mustelidae. The transcript has 2 exons. The record is from RefSeq and is a predicted model, not a curated record.
CUCUCUGUCAGAUUAAAUAAAUAAAAUCUUAAAAAAAAAAAAAACAUUGAAAUGAGAGGAAGAAGGGGAGAAGGCAAAGCGGUGAAGAAGCCAGAGCGGGCACUCGGCCUCUCCUGGUGACGGGGACACCCAGCCUUGGGGGAGCAGGGGUGCGCCGGGGCUCUGGGUGGUCUCAGAAACAAAGAGGAGACUGUAUUCCAGCCCAAGUGCCCGCCUUCAAGGACGUUGGCAGACAGCUCCUGUCAGCAGGAAAUGAGCCCGUCUGAGCUCCCUCGCCCCAUGGGGACACACAGAAGGAAGGACAAGAGGAGGACACGGGGAGCAGAGCAGCUGUGGGGGUGGGGACUGGCCCGGGUCUCCGUGGAACCCAGGAGGGAACUCCUCACCCCCAGCAGCGGGAGAAAUGGAUUUCCAUAACUAAGUCUGCACACGACGUCCCACCUCCACCCUGCGACGGCAGGAGAGACCCACACUGGGACACACACCCCCCCUCACUGCCACCACGUCACACGCCAUGCUGCCGCGGGCACCCCUCACCAUCAGUGGCAGACGCAGGCUUGUGUCACAGAUGCGCUGCCCUGUGACCUGCCGUGGCCACAAGCCCCAAGGCCCUCUGUGUUCAAGCAUGUUUGCAGAAAACAGUCGCUAAACGCUCAGACACAUACACUAACAAAACGCACACACAGUUAAUAAAACUACCUAUAAUUUUGAAAA